AUCACUCUGUCUAAAUAAGGGUUGCCCAAAGUUGGUCCUCGAGGGCUGCUGUCCUGCAGAUUUUCCAGUGUGUCCUGCUUCAACAUACCUGA
Long non-coding RNA from Melanotaenia boesemani (Boeseman's rainbowfish), 92 nucleotides. RefSeq lists it as uncharacterized. The record is from RefSeq and is a predicted model, not a curated record. NCBI's taxonomy places the organism in Eukaryota, Metazoa, Chordata, Actinopteri, Atheriniformes, Melanotaeniidae. The transcript has 3 exons.